GAGGAGAUAGGGAUUGGGUGUGUGUUUCUGUGUGUGAAAAUGGCGGAGAAAGAAAGACGCAAAUUCAGGGCUUUUGGAUUUGUACAUAUGCCAAUUGAAGAUUCAGAUUUUUGGGGUUUUAACUGUAUUCAGAUGGGGGAUCAGCUGUGCGUUUCAGCCUCUCAAAAGUACAGCAAAAGGAAGGCGUAAAUUAAUGGGCUUUGACUUGUUAAAAUGUUAGUUGAACAUUCAGGUCCAAAAUUUGGAAAUUUUCUUCUGUCCUUUCCAAGAACUACUCCAGAGUAUAGCAGCACGACUCAAUAUCGUAUCCAGC
Long non-coding RNA from Coffea eugenioides, 313 nucleotides. RefSeq lists it as uncharacterized. The transcript has 3 exons. Lineage: Eukaryota; Viridiplantae; Streptophyta; Magnoliopsida; Gentianales; Rubiaceae. The record is from RefSeq and is a predicted model, not a curated record.